This 64-nucleotide transfer RNA is filed under the name Psylla alni. RNAcentral's name for it is "tRNA-Leu". The record is from RNAcentral. Lineage: Eukaryota; Metazoa; Arthropoda; Insecta; Hemiptera; Psyllidae.
CUAUUUUGGCAGAUUAAUGUGCUAAGUUUAGGAUUUAUUUAUGUAAAGUUUUUACAAAUAGAAA